UACGGAGGGUGCGAGCGUUGUUCGGAAUUACUGGGCAUAAAGGGUGCGUAGGCGGCUUGUUAGGUCAGGGGUGAAAGUUUUCGGCCCAACCGGAAAAUUGCCUUUGAUACUGGCGAGCUUGAGUGCGUGAGGGGUAACCGGAACGAGUGGUGUAGCGGUGAAAUGCGUAGAUAUCUGGAGGAACACCGGUGGCGAAGGCGGCAUCCUGGACCGACACUGACACUGAGGAGCGAAAGCCAGGGGAGCAAACGGG
RNAcentral lists this ribosomal RNA (253 nucleotides) under uncultured bacterium. Its description in RNAcentral is "partial 16S ribosomal RNA". It matches the Rfam family "Bacterial small subunit ribosomal RNA", at positions 524 to 776 of the family's 1533-position model. The record is from RNAcentral.